This 274-nucleotide ribosomal RNA is filed under the name uncultured bacterium. RNAcentral's name for it is "partial 16S ribosomal RNA". It matches the Rfam family "Bacterial small subunit ribosomal RNA", at positions 523 to 796 of the family's 1533-position model. The record is from RNAcentral.
AUACGGAGGGUGCAAGCGUUAAUCGGAAUUACUGGGCGUAAAGAGUACGUAGGUGGUUUAUUAAGUCAGAUGUGAAAGCCCCGGGCUCAACCUGGGAACUGCAUUUGAAACUAGUAGACUAGAGUAUGGUAGAGGGGGGUAGAAUUUCUAGUGUAGCGGUGAAAUGCGUAGAUAUUAGAAGGAAUACCAGUGGCGAAGGCGGCCCCCUGGACCAAUACUGACACUGAGGUACGAAAGCGUGGGUAGCGAACAGGAUUAGAUACCCUAGUAGUCC